CUUUCUGUGAACACAUGCUGUGUAGGAGCACUUAUCUGCUUUUGACAUUCCACACUCCUUGCAACCUGGGCCUCACAGCUUUUGGAAAGAACAGACAACUCCUGAAUAGAACAUCUUCCCAGGAACCACCCCACAAGCAUGAGGAGGCUGAUGUGAGCUCUCAACCUUGAAUAGUCUUCCCUUUCCACUUAUUCAGAAUAAAUUUUUGGGGGUUUUUGGGGGAUUUCUUGGU
Molecule: long non-coding RNA, 232 nt
Filed under: Cyanistes caeruleus (blue tit)
Lineage: Eukaryota; Metazoa; Chordata; Aves; Passeriformes; Paridae
Description: lncRNA (ENSCCEG00000000153.1)
Source: RNAcentral